Molecule: long non-coding RNA, 282 nt
Filed under: Malus domestica (apple)
Lineage: Eukaryota; Viridiplantae; Streptophyta; Magnoliopsida; Rosales; Rosaceae
Description: long non-coding RNA (MDOM_LNC005566)
Source: RNAcentral
CUUCGAGCAGUAAAGAUGCGUUAGACUUAUACAACCACAUAUUCUUGUGAAAUGUUAAACAAGCUAGUGUGCAUAUAUGAAGCUUUAUCCACUGUCGACAUGCUACAUAGUCGAUAAGCUUCACCUCUGCCAAGCGCGAAACAACCUACACCAAGUCUUAAAGUGUUGUGAUAUUUGUUACGCAACCUACGAAAUUGGAGAAAGCCAAGGUUAAUAGUCUAGUGGUUACGGGGACUUGUCUGCUUCUGUAAGUAAGGCAUCUGGCUACCAACCUUAUGGCUA